UUGAGAGNUGUGCGUACGGGUGCGGAACACGUGUGCACUGCCUUUAUCUGGGGGAUAGCCUUUCGAAAGGAAGAUAAUACCCCAUAAUAUGUUGAAUGGUCAUUCGACAUUGAAACUCCGGUGGAUAGAGAUGGGACGCGCAAGAUUAGAUAGUUUGGUGAGGUAACGGUCACCAAGUCUACGAUCUUUAGGGGCCUGAAGGGUGAUCCCCCAACUGGUACUGAGACACGGACCAGACUCCUACGGGAGUGCACGCAGUGAGGAAUAUUUGGACAAUGGGUGAGAGCCUGAUCCAGCACAUCCCGCGUGAAGGACGACUGCCCUAUGGGUUGUNACACUUCUNUUGUAUAGGGAUAAACUAACCCUCGUGACGGGUAGCUGAAGGUACUAUUACGAAUAAAGCACCGGCUAACUCCCGUGCAAAGAAGCCGCGGUAAUACGGAGGGGUGCAAGCGUUAAUCCCCGGGGGAAUUNUAAUUAUGGGGGUUAUAAAAAAGGGGGGUUCCCAGGUAAAGGGCGGCAUUACACUGGUCAAAAGUUACCAAAGUUGGGGUUGGGAAAAUACUUCUACAACAAAGGUUUUAAAANUUUGGGUGGGAA
Molecule: ribosomal RNA, 600 nt
Filed under: uncultured bacterium
Lineage: Bacteria
Description: bacterial SSU rRNA
Rfam family: Bacterial small subunit ribosomal RNA (bases 1-461)
Source: RNAcentral